GAGCAUUUGUGAAUGCCACUGCAAUACAUUUCAGUUUCAAAAAUUGUAAAUUGUCAGAAAAACGUUUAAGGGCUUUGUCAUGAAUUACACCUUGGAAAGUCGAUUGGAGUUGAACAGAAUAAAUCAUCUGGUCUGUUUUGCAAAGAAGCAAUAAUUUUUCAAAUAAUGAAAUCCAAAAAGUACCCUGAAGGUAAAAAUUGUGAAAAAUCACGUAAUGGACAAUGGCAGAGCAAGUCUUAUCACAGUUAACGAACACUAUGAGUACCUAAUGAGUUUUUGCAGUAAAUAAUUUUGCCAAAGUUGUGAUCCCGCGAAAGUUCUGUUUGUAAAUUGUAAGGAAUGGUCAAAAUAUUGGUGCAGACAUGGUUUGUGACCGGUGCUUUUCUCUUGAAAAAACACAACUGAAAGCCUUGAUCUUCAUCCCUACAAUAGAUAUCUGAAACAUGCCAGAUCUGCAUAACAGGAAUGUCAAAGAGGUUCUACCCAAAACACACCCACAUGGCCAUCCUAAUAUCAAGAUUUUUCAAAAUUUCUAUAACAAAAAAGAUGAAAAAACCAAUAAAAUUUCAGGAGCAUAGUGUUAAGAGUUCUGUAGAUGAUUAUGAGA
Molecule: long non-coding RNA, 607 nt
Organism: Zophobas morio
Lineage: Eukaryota; Metazoa; Arthropoda; Insecta; Coleoptera; Tenebrionidae
Exons: 3
Source: RefSeq, a predicted model, not a curated record